This is a long non-coding RNA of Pyrgilauda ruficollis (rufous-necked snowfinch), 465 nucleotides long. RefSeq lists it as uncharacterized. NCBI's taxonomy places the organism in Eukaryota, Metazoa, Chordata, Aves, Passeriformes, Passeridae. The record is from RefSeq and is a predicted model, not a curated record. The transcript is spliced from 3 exons.
CUUUGCGUAGGAUUUCUGCAUCCCUUCCAGCAUCGAAGUUUGGAGCAGCUUGAAUUGUACCCUGGGUACACUGAACCACUGCAGCAGGCUGAAAAUAAGAGUCACAGUUCUCCAUUUCUUCCUCUAACACAGAAUCAGGACAUUACUCUGAGGGUAGAUGGAAACUCCUGAUGCAGAACAAAAUUGAAGCCUUUGGAAAUCAGCUGUAAAAACAUUAAAACUACAGAAGCCACAUAAGAUUCCUUAUAGAAAAGAAAACAGCACAUACCGGACCAGUCAUUGGGGAUGGUACUUGUCCACCAGGAAAUCCUAGUGAAAAUAAAGAACAAGUUCUCAUCAGAUACGUGCAGUUUGAAAAAGGGUGAGCACCUAAACCACUACAUCAUGACCAUUAUUCAGGGACAGCCAUCCCCUUUGGAUGUAGCACCUACAGAAAUGGUUCUCAUCAGCUCUUCAGUGGCCUGG